This 509-nucleotide ribosomal RNA is filed under the name Colletotrichum gloeosporioides. RNAcentral describes it as "eukaryotic LSU rRNA". The stretch from base 147 to 300 matches the Rfam family "5.8S ribosomal RNA". Lineage: Eukaryota; Fungi; Ascomycota; Sordariomycetes; Glomerellales; Glomerellaceae. The record is from RNAcentral.
GUGACAUACCUAUAACUGUUGCUUCGGCGGGUAGGGUCUCCGUGACCCUCCCGGCCUCCCGCCCCCGGGCGGGUCGGCGCCCGCCGGAGGAUAACCAAACUCUGAUUUAACGACGUUUCUUCUGAGUGGUACAAGCAAAUAAUCAAAACUUUUAACAACGGAUCUCUUGGUUCUGGCAUCGAUGAAGAACGCAGCGAAAUGCGAUAAGUAAUGUGAAUUGCAGAAUUCAGUGAAUCAUCGAAUCUUUGAACGCACAUUGCGCCCGCCAGCAUUCUGGCGGGCAUGCCUGUUCGAGCGUCAUUUCAACCCUCAAGCUCUGCUUGGUGUUGGGGCCCUACAGCUGAUGUAGGCCCUCAAAGGUAGUGGCGGACCCUCCCGGAGCCUCCUUUGCGUAGUAACUUUACGUCUCGCACUGGGAUCCGGAGGGACUCUUGCCGUAAAACCCCCAAUUUUCCAAAGGUUGACCUCGGAUCAGGUAGGAAUACCCGCUGAACUUAAGCAUAUCAAUA